AGGAGGAGCUGAUAUGACGAAGUCAUUAUAUUGAAUGGCUCUGACUGAAAUGCCGCCGAACGAAGAUGAGGGGGCGAUACAUAU
RNAcentral lists this small RNA (84 nucleotides) under bovine gut metagenome. RNAcentral describes it as "GA-cis RNA". It matches the Rfam family "GA-cis RNA". The record is from RNAcentral.